This 51-nucleotide transfer RNA is filed under the name Macrohectopus branickii. RNAcentral describes it as "tRNA-Ser". The record is from RNAcentral. Lineage: Eukaryota; Metazoa; Arthropoda; Malacostraca; Amphipoda; Macrohectopidae.
AAGGUGUAAAAAAGACUUCUAAUCUUUAAUUAGCGCUACUGCUACACCUGG